RNAcentral lists this ribosomal RNA (1610 nucleotides) under Brucella abortus. RNAcentral describes it as "bacterial LSU rRNA". It matches the Rfam family "Bacterial large subunit ribosomal RNA", at positions 69 to 1673 of the family's 2925-position model. RNAcentral also lists the same sequence under 6 other names. Lineage: Bacteria; Pseudomonadati; Pseudomonadota; Alphaproteobacteria; Hyphomicrobiales; Brucellaceae. The record is from RNAcentral.
CGAUAAGCGUCGGGGAGGUGCGAAUACCCUUUGAUCCGACGAUUUCCGAAUGGGGCAACCCACCUUAGAUGACUAGAAAAUCUGUUUUGUUGGAGCAACGCUGGAUGGGUUUACACCCAUACAGACCGCUAGGUCGUCGGCCCAUGUGGGCCGCCCCCGCGGAGCGCCAGCAUUCCUCUGGAAUGCGUACGGCGCGUGAGCGAGAACAGCACAGCUUUCUAGUCAUCAUAAAUAAGGUAUCUAACCUUGAAUACAUAGGGGUUAGAAGCGAACCUGGGGAACUGAAACAUCUAAGUACCCAGAGGAAAGGACAUCAAACGAGACUCCGCUAGUAGUGGCGAGCGAACGCGGACCAGGCCAGUGGCUUUUGUGAAUAAAGUGGAACGAGUUGGAAAACUCGACCGAAGUGGGUGAUAGUCCCGUACACGUAGAAUAGCAGAAGUCCUUGAGUAGGGCGGGACACGUGAAAUCCUGUCUGAACAUGGGUCGACCACGAUCCAAGCCUAAGUACUCGUGCAUGACCGAUAGCGAACCAGUACCGUGAGGGAAAGGUGAAAAGCACCCCGACGAGGGGAGUGAAACAGUACCUGAAACCGGAUGCCUACAAACAGUUGGAGCCCAAGGUUUGUCCUGGGUGACAGCGUACCUUUUGUAUAAUGGGUCAGCGACUUAGUGUAUCGAGCAAGCUUAAGCCGGUAGGUGUAGGCGCAGCGAAAGCGAGUCUGAACAGGGCGUUCAGUUCGAUGCAUUAGACCCGAAACCAAGUGAUCUAGCCAUGAGCAGGUUGAAGGUACGGUAACACGUACUGGAGGACCGAACCCAUAUCUGUUGCAAUAGAUCGGGAUGACUUGUGGCUAGGGGUGAAAGGCCAAUCAAACUUGGAGAUAGCUGGUUCUCCGCGAAAUCUAUUUAGGUAGAGCGUCGACCGAAUACCCCCGGGGGUAGAGCACUGGAUGGGCUAUGGGGACUCACCGUCUUACUGAUCCUAACCAAACUCCGAAUACCGGGGAGUACUAGUCGGCAGACACACGGCGGGUGCUAACGUCCGUCGUGGAGAGGGCAACAACCCUGACCACCAUCUAAGGUCCCUAAGUUAUGGCUAAGUGGGAAAGGAUGUGAGGAUCCCAAAACAACCAGGAUGUUGGCUUAGAAGCAGCCAUCAUUUAAAGAAAGCGUAACAGCUCACUGGUCUAAAUAAGGGUCUUUGCGCCGAAAAUGUACCGGGGCUCAAGCCAUACACCGAAGCUGUGGAUGCACGUAUGUGCGUGGUAGCGGAGCGUUCCGUAAGCCUGUGAAGGGACAGUCGUGAGACAUCCUGGAGGUAUCGGAAGUGAGAAUGCUGACAUGAGUAACGAUAAAGGGAGUGAGAGACUCCCUCGCCGAAAGUCCAAGGGUUCCUGCUUAAAGUUAAUCUGAGCAGGGUUAGCCGGCCCCUAAGGCGAGGCCGAAAGGCGUAGUCGAUGGGAACCACGUUAAUAUUCGUGGGCCUGCAGGUGGUGACGGAUCGCGUGUGUUGUGAGGUCUUAUUGGAUUGAUCUUGCAGCGAAGCGGUUCCAGGAAAUAGCUCCUGCAUAUAGACCGUACCCUAAACCGACACUGGUGGACUGGUA